GAUACGGUUAUCGGAUUACUGGGCGUAAGCGCGCGUAGGCGGUUUGUUAAGUCAGAUGUGAAAUCCCCGGGCUCAACCUGGGAAUGGUAUUUGAGACUGGCAGGCUAGAGUGUGGUAGAGGUGAGUGGAAUUUCAGGUGUAGCGGUGAAAUGCGUAGAGAUCUGAAGGAACAUCAGUGGCGAAGGCGACUCACUGGGCCAUUACUGACGCUGAGGUGCGAAAGCGUGGGUAGCAAACAGGAUUAGAUACCCUGGUAGUCCACGCCCUAAACGAUGUGAACUAGAGGUAGGUGGUGUU
RNAcentral lists this ribosomal RNA (297 nucleotides) under uncultured Methylophaga sp. RNAcentral describes it as "partial 16S ribosomal RNA". It matches the Rfam family "Bacterial small subunit ribosomal RNA", at positions 548 to 833 of the family's 1533-position model. Lineage: Bacteria; Pseudomonadati; Pseudomonadota; Gammaproteobacteria; Thiotrichales; Piscirickettsiaceae. The record is from RNAcentral.